This 246-nucleotide ribosomal RNA is filed under the name uncultured bacterium. RNAcentral describes it as "partial 16S ribosomal RNA". It matches the Rfam family "Bacterial small subunit ribosomal RNA", at positions 114 to 353 of the family's 1533-position model. The record is from RNAcentral.
CGCGUAGGUAACCUGCCUUGUAGCGGGGGAUAACUAUUGGAAACGAUAGCUAAUACCGCAUAACAAUGGAUGACACAUGUCAUUUAUUUGAAAGGGGCAAUUGCUCCACUACAAGAUGGACCUGCGUUGUAUUAGCUAGUAGGUGAGGUAACGGCUCACCUAGGCGACGAUACAUAGCCGACCUGAGAGGGUGAUCGGCCACAUUGGGACUGAGACACGGCCCAAACUCCUACGGGAGGCAGCAUG